UACGUAGGGGGCUAGCGUUGUCCGGAAUCAUUGGGCGUAAAGAGCGUGUAGGCGGCCCGGUAAGUCCGCUGUGAAAGUCGGGGGCUCAACCCUCGGAUGCCGGUGGAUACUGUCGGGCUCGAGUACGGAAGAGGCGAGUGGAAUUCCUGGUGUAGCGGUGAAAUGCGCAGAUAUCAGGAGGAACACCUAUUGCGAAGGCAGCUCGCUGGGACGUUACUGACGCUGAGGCGCGAAAGCGUAGGUAGCAAACAGG
This 253-nucleotide ribosomal RNA is filed under the name uncultured bacterium. RNAcentral's name for it is "partial 16S ribosomal RNA". It matches the Rfam family "Bacterial small subunit ribosomal RNA", at positions 524 to 776 of the family's 1533-position model. The record is from RNAcentral.